RNAcentral lists this ribosomal RNA (426 nucleotides) under uncultured eukaryote. Its description in RNAcentral is "SSU rRNA". It matches the Rfam family "Eukaryotic small subunit ribosomal RNA", at positions 592 to 1018 of the family's 1831-position model. The record is from RNAcentral.
CAAUAGCGUAUAUUAAAAUUGUUGCGGUUAAAAAGCUCGUAGUUGGAUUUCUGCCGAGGACGACCGGUCCGCCCUCUGGGUGAGCAUCUGGCUCUGCCUGGGCAUCUUCUUGGAGAACGUAUCUGCACUUGACUGUGUGGUGCGGUAUCCAGGACUUUUACUUUGAGGAAAUUAGAGUGUUUCAAGCAGGCAUACGCCUUGAAUACAUUAGCAUGGAAUAAUAAGAUAGGACCUCGGUUCUAUUUUGUUGGUUUCUAGAGCUGAGGUACUGAUUAAUAGGGAGUAGUUGGGGGCGAUUCGUAUUUAACUGUCAGAGGUGAAAUUCUUGGAUUUUUAAAGUACGAACAAUUGCGAAGGCUAUCUACCCAGGAUGUUUUUGUUUGAUCAAGAACGAAAGUUAGGGGAUCGAAGAUGAUUAGAUACCAU